Nothobranchius furzeri (turquoise killifish) is the source of this 2802-nucleotide non-coding RNA. Lineage: Eukaryota; Metazoa; Chordata; Actinopteri; Cyprinodontiformes; Nothobranchiidae. The record is from RefSeq and is a predicted model, not a curated record.
GGGUGUGGGUGUGUGUGUGUGUGUGUGUGUGUGUGUGUGUGUGUGUGUGUGUGUGUGUGUGUGUGUGUGUGUGUGUGUGUGUGAGAGAGAGAGAGAGAGCGAGAGAGAGGUUUCUCCAGCUGUGAUGUCCUAUUGAUGGUAUUUUAAGGUGUAUUAAAUUAGAUUGGACUGAAUAGGAAAUCACUGAAGGCCCAGGGGUGGAACGCACCGCCCGCCACUGGUCGGUGCAUCCCUAAAUUAAAGACUUAAACUUGUGUUUUUUAGAACUAUAAAAGCUAAUUUCUCUGUUGAGUCUCAGCACAAUGGCAGACAAGGCACCGGUUCGAUUACUGUUCAGUUUGAGAGAAGACAACAACGUCAGAAUGGAGCUACACCACGGAAUUCCAAACUCAUUGGAAGAGCUUAUCGAUGAAGUGAAGAAGGCAUGCGGAUUAGAGGGAUACAUAGAUUGCAGUAUUAGGACACUGAUUUUGGUAAUAUAUUUGUGAAUCUGACCUCUACAUCUGUCAUUAGGGAUCUGGCAAUUCUUAAAGUAAUUCAGUUAGACCCUGAUGCCUCAGCCAUUGUCUUGUAUCCGGUUGAGUCUUCAACAAGUAGCAGCACUUCGUUUGCUCUGGACAGUGAUGACUCCUCAGUCUCUGCACAUACAGAUGACACAAUAUUGCUUAGCCACUCACCACACUCCCUGAGAACACAGCAGUGGCCCUCAGUGUUCCAAAUCCCCAACUUCUCCUAUGACACAGAAUGCCAACUGCAGAGGGCAAAUACGGAGUACAUGAAUACCCAAACUACUCUGACACCUAGUUCAAAGAUGCUGUCAGACAUAUAGGACAAAUUAGCUGAAAGUGUGUAUGCAUACACGCCACAUCCUGAAGACUGCCAUUACAGUGAUGUUGCAGUGGCACUCACAAGUAAGCACCCCUGCCUUAGGGAACCAGGAUCUUUCAAUCAGAGCUAUGGAUGGAAACAGCGGCUCAAGAUAAAAAUGGGCAACUACCGGACCCAACUUAAGGCACAUGGCUCAUCUGCUGAGCUCACAGUGAAUUCUUCAAAAUCUAGAGUCCAGGGAAUUCCUACCCAGCAAAGAAUGUAAAGAGACCUAGACGAGCUGAGGUCAAUCAUUUUCCAGCUUUGCCAAGUGGUGAGACUACAGAAAGCCUGGAACAAGAGCAAAUUCCCAUUUUGGCAGAAAUCCAGGAAAGAAACAACCGACAAACGGUAAAAGAAAAGAUGGCCAAGACGUUUGGAUACCGUCGACAGGAAAUAGUACACAAGCAGCCAACGACUCAAGAGAUUAUGGAGAGAUGGCCAGCACUUUUCCUGAAGGAGUAGGGGUGAUUUUGAUACCAUUGACACAUUUGUGUAUUAAUUGUGUUGCUGUUGGAUUGAAAAGGUUUUGUAAAAGAGAUUAAAUUAAUAAUGUUAAUUAAACAUUUAAAAGGCUGAUCUUCAAGCAGAGUGAUCAAAUGUGUAAAAAUUUUAUAUUUUAAUUUUUGUUCUGUCUGUGUGCUUGUUAUUUUACAGAUCAGUGCUGAGUUCCUGCGAGUUACAACAGUUCCAUUGGAGGCAACGUUUUUGGCACAGCUGGACAAACAUUCUACCAAACUGCUACAGGUCAUCAGGAGCAAGGGAGGACGUGUGAAAGAGCAGACCACUAGGACCUUGGAAGUUUUAGAUGAGACUGUUGACAUCACCAAGAAAAGAGAGGCUGUACUCAAAUCUCUGACGAUCUACCAGGGUGAACCUGUUGAGAACCUUGUUAAAGAAUGCCAGGAUGUGCAGGAGAAUGGCCAACAGCAACUGGAAACCAUGGCAAUAUUCGUCAUCAGGAGAGAGAUCCUUUCCAUCCACCGAAAGACAUGACGAUAGUCAUCGACGGAGCACAGGUCCUGACAGAUGUGCCUUCUGUUGCAACAGCUGUUGCCAUGUUCUUUGCACUGAUAUAUGCCCUCAACUUAAAGUAUCCAAAACAUCUGCAGUACACUCUGGAAUUCAUUCAAAAGGUCCUGAUGGAGCUCGGUGGCAAAAAGAUGUCUUCAAACAUUCACAAGCUGAGCACUCUGCUUUAGAGAUGUUGAACUCUGAUUCUUCCAUUGUUGCAUCUAAAAAGAAGACUUAAGAUCCUUUUGUGACGUUUGUGUUCUGCUAUCGCUGUCGCAAAAAUACUCAAGUUCAGAGACUUGUUCAAUACUUUGUUAAAAACUAAGGAGCAAUCCAAAACAUAAUGCAGUGUUUUUAUUCAGACAAAGAAAGGGUUGUUUGCAUUUGAAAGUUCCGGAACUAACUGUCACUAAUAUAACUGGUAACAUUUUACGUUGAUUUUGUUGACGAUGAGACAAUUGUUGAUUUAGUUUAAUGAACAUUUUAUUAUUAUUUUUAGGUAAUAUUUGUUGCCAGAUUUAGUUCAACAAUGUUUUAUUUAAUUGAAUCAUUUGUUUGAGUUUCUGAGUGGAUAGUUUGGCUCUAUUCAGCAGGAUUGACCUGGACAAAAUGUAAAAAUUUCAGUGAUUCUGACAGCUAAAAAUAUAUCUUUCAUAAUACAAAAUUACAGUGCUGUUAAUAAAAAAAUGCAUGUUAAAAAAAUCUAGGGCAUUGUUUUGGCUGACAUGUUCUUUAACCAAUAAAUGUUUAUAGACAAAAAAAAUGUGCUGCUGAGUGUAAAUCAAUGCAAGUGUAAAAGGAAUUUCAUAUUUACAAUAUAAUCACAAUUCUUUAUUUGAUACAAUUUACAAAAGUUGCAUUUGCUCAAACAGUCAGAAUUAGUUUCUAUCAAUUUUAAAAUAUCAGGUUAGGUUUAGUGAA